RNAcentral lists this ribosomal RNA (1078 nucleotides) under Cellulophaga sp. RHA_44. RNAcentral describes it as "bacterial SSU rRNA". It matches the Rfam family "Bacterial small subunit ribosomal RNA", at positions 181 to 1266 of the family's 1533-position model. The record is from RNAcentral. Lineage: Bacteria; Pseudomonadati; Bacteroidota; Flavobacteriia; Flavobacteriales; Flavobacteriaceae.
UUUUAUGGCAUCAUUUAAAUAAUAAAGUUUACGGUGUAAGAUGAGUAUGCGUCCCAUUAGUUUGUUGGUAAGGUAACGGCUUACCAAGACUACGAUGGGUAGGGGCCCUGAGAGGGGGAUCCCCCACACUGGUACUGAGACACGGACCAGACUCCUACGGGAGGCAGCAGUGAGGAAUAUUGGACAAUGGAGGAGACUCUGAUCCAGCCAUGCCGCGUGCAGGAAGACGGUCCUAUGGAUUGUAAACUGCUUUUAUACAGGAAGAAUAAGGACUACGUGUAGUCUGGUGACGGUACUGUAAGAAUAAGGACCGGCUAACUCCGUGCCAGCAGCCGCGGUAAUACGGAGGGUCCGAGCGUUAUCCGGAAUUAUUGGGUUUAAAGGGUCCGUAGGCGGGCUGUUAAGUCAGGGGUGAAAGUUUGCAGCUCAACUGUAGAAUUGCCUUUGAUACUGAUGGUCUUGAAUUAUUGUGAAGUGGUUAGAAUAUGUAGUGUAGCGGUGAAAUGCAUAGAUAUUACAUAGAAUACCGAUUGCGAAGGCAGAUCACUAACAAUUGAUUGACGCUGAUGGACGAAAGCGUGGGUAGCGAACAGGAUUAGAUACCCUGGUAGUCCACGCCGUAAACGAUGGAUACUAGCUGUUUGGAUUUCGAUCUGAGCGGCCAAGCGAAAGUGAUAAGUAUCCCACCUGGGGAGUACGUUCGCAAGAAUGAAACUCAAAGGAAUUGACGGGGGCCCGCACAAGCGGUGGAGCAUGUGGUUUAAUUCGAUGAUACGCGAGGAACCUUACCAGGGCUUAAAUGUAGAUUGACAGGUUUAGAGAUAGACUUUCCUUCGGGCAAUUUACAAGGUGCUGCAUGGUUGUCGUCAGCUCGUGCCGUGAGGUGUCAGGUUAAGUCCUAUAACGAGCGCAACCCCUGUUGUUAGUUACCAGCACAUUAUGGUGGGGACUCUAGCAAGACUGCCGGUGCAAACCGUGAGGAAGGUGGGGAUGACGUCAAAUCAUCACGGCCCUUACGUCCUGGGCCACACACGUGCUACAAUGGUAGGUACAGAGAGCAGCCACUUAGCGAUAAGGA